Molecule: long non-coding RNA, 10717 nt
Filed under: Mytilus galloprovincialis (Mediterranean mussel)
Lineage: Eukaryota; Metazoa; Mollusca; Bivalvia; Mytilida; Mytilidae
Source: RNAcentral
GUAAAAGUGCCGGGAAUAUUAAUUACAAUCUAACCUCAAGGACCACUCAUAAAUAAGGGUAAGUUUAUAUAUAUAUGAAAACAUUAAUGAAGAAUGAAUAAACACAUUUAAAGGUUCCUGUAGAACUUCAAAAUAGUCAUUUAUUUUCAAUCAGCUAAUCUAAUAUUGUUUUUAUUAUUUUGGCACAUUAAUUACGUUGACAGCAUAUAUUUUAUGCUAGCACAUUUCAUGUUCUCAAGUCCACAUCCUAAUUACCCAAUCAUUCUGCUCUAUGUUUGAUUCUGAUAGUUCACUAAUUUAUCAUGUAACCCUAAUGAUCGUCCUUUUACUUUUCUCUACAGCUGAUUUCAAUGUAGAAACUGUUGCAUUUUGUUUAUGUUUUGAGUAUUUCUAUUUUCUGGUCAGGGUGUCUGUGUGUCUGUUAUUCCAUCCAAUAUUCUGUCUGCUUUCAUACUUCAUGUUAUAGUUCUAUUGUUAAUGUAAUUAACCAUGACGUUGUGGUCAAAUCUACUUACAAAUUAGAUCAAAUGUUCAUUGUAAUGUGAACUUUUAAAAUUUUACGCCAAAUUAUGGUUUAAAUUCUGAUUUAAUGGUUCACAGAAUAUUAGGUAGUGCAAGCAAGGCUUGUUGUCAUAUGUGCACAUAUAUUCUUGUUUUGGUGCAAAAUGGGUUGCAUAAUUUAUUCAAACUUGUUUUGUGAAUGUCAUGUCUACAUAAUUUUUUCUCUUCCUAUUUCCAUAUUUUUUACUCUCAUUUUUUUCUGGUUUCUGAAAUAGAAUUCCAAUUAUUACAAAUUAUGUAUCAUAAGGAAUAAUGUCAGACUCUGAGCUUUUCCCAUCACUUUGCGUCCGGUGUCCGUCGUCGUCGUCCGUUGUCGUUAACUUUUACAAAAAUCUUCUCCUCUGAAACUACUGGGCCAAAUUACACCAAACUUGUCCACAAUCAUCAUUGGGGUAUCUAGUUUAAAAAAUGUGUGGCGUGACCCUGCCAACCAACCAAGAUGGCCACCACGGCUAAAAAUAGAACAUAGGGGUAAAAUGCAGUUUUUGGCUUAUAACUCAAAAACCAAAGCAUUUAGAGCAAAUCUGUCUGGGGGUAAAAUUGUUUAUCAGGUCAAGAUCUAUCUGGGACAACAUCCCUAAUGCGCCCGAAGAGGGAACUCAAAAUCACGUGUAAAGAAAAAAUUCUGUGUAGUGAUAUGGACAUGUUUCUAUUUUUAACAAAUGACUGAACUUAUUAUUUGUGGGAUAAGAAAGUAGAGGAACAUAGAUAAAUGUGUAAAAACUAUGGAGCAUUGAAUGGUUCAAAGUAUAAAUUUUCAAGAACUUAUUGUGUUAAAAAGGAAUUUUACCACAGGAGCCGCAUCACAAAAGGAUGUCGGGUUGCUAAUUUACGGAAAGUAAUCUCACUUCGUACCCGAAAAUUUAACCACAUAUGUGAAAAUGUCACAGCUUCGAAACGAGCUAUCAUACAUAUCCAAGUUUACGAUAUGGACUGAUCUACAGGAAAAAACGUAACCAUUAACGCCUAUGUAAAAACAAUUAAAGAUAUUGAACCAUCUGCCCUGAAAUUUUCAGAUGAAUCGGACAACCCAUUGUUGGGUUGCUGCUGCACCUGAAUUGGUAAUUUUAAGGAAAUUUUGCUGUUUUUGGUUAUUAUCUUGAAUAUUAUUAAAGAUAGCGAUAAACUGUAAACAGCAAUAAUGUUCAGCAAAGUAAGAUUUACAAAUAUGUCAACAUGACUGAAAUGGUCAGUUGACCCCUUUAGGAGUUAUUGCCCUUUAUAGUCAAUUUUUAACCAUUUUUCGUAAAUCUUAGUAAUCUAUUACAAAAAUCUUCUCCUGAAACUACAUUGCCAAAUUAAUCCAAACUUGGCCACAAUCAUCAUUGGGGUAUCUAGUUUAAAAAAUGUGUGGCGUGACCUGGCCAACCAACCAAGAUGGCUGCCAUGGCUAAAAAUAGAACAUAGGGGUGAAAUGUAGAUUUUGGCUUAUAUCUCUGAAACCAAAGCAUUUAGAGCAAAUCUGAUAUGGGGUAAAUUGUUCAUCAAGUGAAAAUCUAUCAGCCCUGAAACUUUCAAAUGAAUAGGACAACCGGUUGUUGGGUUGCUGCCCGGAAAUUAGUAAUUUGAAGGAAAUUUUGCAGAUUUUGGUUAUUAUCUUGAAUAUUAUUAUAGAAAGAGAUAAACUGUAAACAGCAAUAAUGUUCAACAAAGUAAGAUCUACAAAUAAGUCAACAUGACCAAAAUUAUCAGUUGACCCCUUAAGGAGUUAUUGCCCUUUAUAGUAAAUUUUGACCAAUUUUUCGUAAAUUUUUGUAAUCUUUUACAAAAAUCUUCUCCACUGAAACUCCUGGACCAAAUUUAACAAAACUUGGCCACAAUCAUUAUUGGGGUAUCUAAUUUUGAAAAUGUGUGGUGUGACACGCCCAACUAAACAAAAUGGCUGCCAUUGCUAAAAUUAGAACAUAGAGGGGAAAGGUAGAUUUUGUCUUAUAUCUCUGAAACCAAAGCAUUUAGAGCUAAUCUGACUGGGUAAAAUUGUUUAUCAGGUCAAGAUCUAUCUGCCCUGAAAUUUUCAGACAAAUCAGACAACCUGUUGUUGGGUUGUUGCCCCCGAAUUAGUAAUUUUAAGGAAAUUUUGCAGAUUUUGGUUAUUAUCUUGAGUAUUAUUAUAGAUAGAGAUAAACUGUAAACAACAAUAAUGUUCAGCAAAAUAAGAUCUACAAAUAAGUCAACAUGACCAAAAUUGUCAAUUGACCCCUUAAGGAGUUAUUCUCCUUUAUAGUCAAUUGUUAACAAUUUUUAUAAAUUUUUGUAAAUUUUUGUAAAUUUUUAGGAAAUAUUUUCCACUGUAAUUACUGGGCCAAGCUCAUUAUAGAUAGAGAUAAUUGUAGCAACAAGAAUGUUCAGUAAAGAAAGAUCUACAAACACAUCACCAUCACCAAAACACCAUUUUGUCAUGAAUUUAUCUGUGUCCAUUGAUAAUAUGCACAUAGACCAAGGUGAGCGACACAGGCUCUUGAGAGCCUAUAGUUAUUUAUACUGGAUUCAUGUCAAAGAAGAUAAUGGUUACAUAGCUCCUAAACAGUAUCACAACAAAGAGUCUUUUAAAAGUUUUGAGGGAUCUGAGUCAAUCUUAUUUCUUUUAUAUUUGUAUGCUCAAUUACAAACCUUUUCUGCAGGUGAGACUUUUUACAAUGAACCUUUGAUCUUGCAUAUAAGAAUGUAACUGUUCAAAAAGUAAAUAGAAGGAUUGAUUUCCUUUAAUGCACUUGUGAUAGUGUAUCCCUGUAACUAGCUGUACAACAGUUAUAUUCCAGAAAAAUGAAACAGUAUUCUAUACUCUACUCAGUAUUACAGGGAACAAUUGUUUACCAGUAUUAUUUUUUCUAUUGAAGAGGAAUACUGUAUAAGCUAAAGAGGAGUUGUUCAAUUUUAAAAUUGCUUUUGUGAUUCAAGUUUUGAAUAAACUGUCAUACAAGUGGUAGGGUUAGCACCAACAAUAUCUUCAGAAAAUGUCUAACAAGUAAAUAUUUAGGCAUAAUUUGUUUUUCACUGUUUUUGUUGAUUGAUAGCUUUGAUUUUGUAAGUUUUUUGGGACUUCCCCUUUUUGAAUUUGCCUUAGAGUUCUGUAAUUUGGUUAUACCUUUGUUUCAGUACCUUUAAUUUGGAAGUGAAUGUUUAUGAUCUGUACACAAUGGUAGUGUUUAAGGCUUUUCUGCCAUAGCUGUAAGGUGUCUUUUAAACUUUGAUAAAAUAUAAUAUCAUGGAACUGGAAGAGUGCUAUUUUUAGGUAUCAAUGUUUUUACCCUUAAGAAAAGUUAAGAUAGACUUAAUAUUCUAUAACAUGCACAUGUUUGAAAUGUUGAUAAGAUUCAAUUAUAAUGCAAUAUACGUAAUUCCAACCUAUUGAACACUGGCAGUAUUUAUAUCUUCUUAGUUCUGACUUGUAUCACAUUGUUAGGUACAAAUGUCACUUACUUUUUUUACAGUUUAAGUUUGUUUCAAUAAAGUAUUGAAGUAUCUUGAAAGAUUUUAACAGGAUAUAAUUUCUAUUUCUUGUCAACAGAUUUAAACUCUUAAAAUCAAUCAAAAGUGGUAGAAUGAUCUUUAGAAUGUUGACAUUUAUAUCAAUAGUUUGGUUUCACAGAAACGGUGAUGUAUAAACAAAUACGUUUAAUUAUAGAUAGCUAAGUCUGUCCUAUACUUCUCUGGUAAAACUAUUUACUAAGUCUAUCAUAUAGUACUCUGUUAAAACUAUGUACAAAAAUGUACUAAGUCUGUCCUAUACUUCUCUGGUAAAAAUAUGUACUAUUAGUUUGUCCUUAUAUACUUCUGUGGUAAAACUAUGUAUCUGUUGUCUGCUCUAUGGUCGGGUUGUUGUCUCUUUGGCACAUUCCUCAUUUCCAUUCUCAAUUUUAUUUAUCUUUAUGGAGAAGGUGUAAGAAAACUGAUUUAACAUAAAGUCUGAUAUCAAACUUCAAUUUAACUUUAAUUUUUAUUUAAGCAUAUUUAUCAUUUACAUGAAAACCUCCUUACUUUCUAAAAUACCUUUCUCUGAUCCUUACUUUUUACUUGAAGGUACAUUAUGCAGGUUUCUUUGAUUAGAACAUACAUGAAUUUCUCAUCAAAUUUAUGCCAGCAAGUGUGAAGUGAAUCAUUUUCAUGAGAUUUUUUCAAAUGUAACAAUUUUGAUUGAUUUUAGGGGUCUAAUUCCCCUGUUAGUAUAUUUCAUGGUGGCCAGUUUUUGGGUGGAGAAUUAUCCUCAGUAAACCCAAGAGAACCACAGGAAAACUUGCAAUCCUUAUCAAUUAAGAUCUGAGUAAAAUACAUGAUGUUAAUCUAGGAUUCAGACUUAAAACCUCAGUGUUUAAAGGCAUAUUACAUUGUAGAUAAAGUACUUAUACCAAUGGGCCACCCAAGCCUAAAACAAAUUUGAAAUAUAGAAAAGUAAUAAAAUAAUUUAGAAAGACAAGUUUUUCUGAAAGAGUAAUGAGUGGUUGUUAAGAUUUUGUAGCUGUCUUCAGAAAUUUAUAGUCUUAACUUGUUUAUAGUCAUAUUAUUAUAAAUAUUUUAUAUUUUAUGCAUACAAAAAAGUGAAGUACCAUAUUACUCUCCUUGAUUUAGUUUUAAAAUUAAAUGCUGAUAAGUGCAUACAAAGGUGUGUGUUUUCUUAGGGUAUUUUUACCUUUAAUUGACAAAAAUAGAAAUCUGAUUCAAUUAAAAAUCAUAGUCAAUAAACUUCAUCAUCAGACUUCAUCAGAAGGUAAGACGUUUCAAUAGAUUUCUUAAAUAUAAGGAAAAAAGAUAUACAGCACAACAAAAUUAAUAGAAUCAAAAAGAAAUAUCAGAAAGUUGUUGUUGCAUUGACUUAAUCUGACUAAUACACUGUAGAAAAUCAUUUAUGAUUUGUUAUUAGAUAAUUCUGGAACUAUUUGAUAAAAUAAAUCAAAAUCUAUAAACAAUUUUAUGAAGAACUUUUCACUAUUUUUAAUUUACAAUUUAGUUGUCGUUGAACAUUGCUAAGUCUCUAGAUCAUGUUUAGAUAAGUUUUAAAUUUACAUCUCCAAAAAACUGUAAUGAAGUUUUUAAGAAUUUCUGAAUACAUUUUCUCCUGAACACAUCCUUAUUUUUAACUUUAAAUUUAACUUUUAAAAAUGCAAAUGACAAUUUAAAAAGAAAUGGAAAUUUUGCUAAUAAAAAAUAUGAUUCAGAUUUAAUUUCUGUAUGCAUGGUAUACAUCUUAAAAAUAACCUUCAUUUAAUUCAAAUUAGUUUUUUACCAUUCAGCCAGAAGUCUUUCAAGUUAGUUUUAUGUUCAGAAAUUUCUGCUAAAUAUCUUUCUUGCUCAACCACAGGUAUUGCUGUGCUUAAUACCUUCAUUAUCAGACAUUGUUUUUGUUUUUUCUUUGCCUCCAUUUUCAAUAUAUUGGAUGUUUUUGGUAUUUCCUUGCCAAAAUUUGUCCUGACAUAUUUAAUUGUUUUUGGUAUUUCUUUGUCCAUAAUAUGUCCAGGCAUGACUAUAUGGUUGUUUUUGGUAUUUCUUUGUCCAUAAUAUGUCUAGGCAUGACUAUAUAGUUGUUUUUUGGUAUUUCUUUUGCCAUGAUAUGCCCAUGCAGGUAUUAUGAUUGUUUUGGUAUCUAUUUGAUAUCUUACUUAUUUAUUCCUAGACAUACAUUUCAUUGUUUUGGUAUUUCUUAUGAUAAUGUCUUUUUGUCCAAACAUGGAUUCAACUGUUUUGGUGUUUUUCCCCCCUUUUUAUCUUUAUCCAUAUUAUCACAUUCUAUAUGCUGGUGUUUUAUUACCAUCUUGUAUUGAUCAAUAAAGGUGACAAUUUGAAAUAUAAAUCAUUCAUGUCAUACAUGUAUGGCCGUUUAUCAGUUAUUUUGCAGACCAUGUUUUUUAGCUCCCCCAACAUGAGGGCAUGGGAACUAUCAAGAACAAUAAUUAAAUCAGGUUGAACCAAAGGAGUAGGUCUGGUAAGGGCUGAUUUUGGCCUCAAAUUUCAGGUUCAUCUAACGAAAGUUUUUGGACAUUUACUAAAGUGUCUAUUUCAAUUGAUUCGAUUAGUUUAUGUGAAAGAAAAACGCUCUGAUUCAAGCCUGAAUAUGAAAAAUCUAUCAAAUAUGCCAAAAAAUGUCACUUUUAAGAUAGAUUUUGUCAAAAAUGAAAGUGGCCGCAUCCGUGUUCAUCCUCAACCUUUAUAUAUGUUUUGUAUUAUCAUCUGAUACAACUUACAUUUCAAUAUUAUGAAUGAACACGAAUGGGGCCACUUUCAUAGACGUAAACCGUCUAAAAAUUAACCAAAAUGCUAAAAUUUUGAAGAUUUCAGUGAUUUAGCAUGACUUAAUGAUGCUAGAACGCGAUAUUUGUGCAUUGUAUUGUCAAAAACAGCUCAUAUUUAUGUAGCAGAAGCAUUUUACUUUCAAAAUACAGCUUAAAGAUUACAUUUUCACAAUUUUCUAAAACUGCUAUAUUUUGGGGCAAAAAAGGGGUCUUUCUGAACCUUACUCCUUUGAAAGAAAAGCAUAUUUAUCAGUCAUUUAAAAGUGUAGCUUCUUUAGUGCUGAAGAGAAAAUCAAAACAAAGAAGUUAUAGUUUACAGUGAUACCUGAAAGGAUUUUAAAUUGUUUUCCAAGCUGAAGUAGAAUGAAGUCCAAUCAUACUGUUCUUUAGAGGGUAGCUAUUUGGGGGGACCAAGUUAAUGCUGUUCAAUUAAUACUUUCAUUUUGGCUUUUUGAAAUUAGACCAAUAUGGUCACCAUUAGUUUAUUUUUUCAAGAUUUUUUUUUCACAUUCAAUAUAUGACUCAAUCUGGGAGAAAACUAUAUUUUUGAUGAAUUCCUACCAAGUACAUUGUAAUUAUAGGUGUCAUUGAGUAAGCAGUGCAGUUUUCUUGGAGCCUCUGGUUUAAGAAAUAAAAGGUCAAUAUAUAGUUCAUCUUUGGAUACAUCCUUAAUUCUAAAUUAACAUCCGAUGGUCAGAUCAAUUUGACUUAUUUUAGAUUCAUGAAUUGAGUAACCAUUAUUUCAUUUUGCUUUAAUGUUUUAAUUUUAGAUUUUAAUGGUAAAUAAAAUUUGUAUUAUAUGUAAUACUAUGGACUUAUUUAUUUCAAAAAUGUUCAAUACCAAAAUCUUCUUCACAAUUUUUAUUCUUAAAAGAUUUACAGUUUUUUGGCAAAAUGAUAUGAGUGAAGAAAUCUUCUCUGUAUAAUUUUCAGGGAUCUUUGAAAAAUUUCACAACUAACAAUGUUUAUUUUGUGAAUUUUUUCUUUGCCAUUAGACAAACUAAAUAUUAGUAUAGUAGGUUUAAUCUUCUCUCAAUGUAAGACAUUAUGAUCUUUUUAAAUUUUAAAGAUCUUUACAGUUUAGGCAUCAAAAGUGUUUUCAGUGUUAAAGCCCAGUCAUGUCUUUUAAAUUGAAUAGGUCAAAUUUGGUAAAGCUAAGCACUGAAGUAUAUGCAAACAAUUUAUUUUUAAUCUUGUAAUAUCAGAUGGUAAGUGUUUUAUGUGGUUUAUAGUUACACAAUUUUUAAGCAUUGAUUUCAAGUUUUUUAUAGAUUUUUUAAAUACAUGUACAUUUCUCUACAAUUAUGUCCCUAUGCUACAAGGAAAGGGGACAGUAUGUUAUAUUGUCCCUGUUUUAUUUCUUUUUCUUUUUUCCAGUUCUGAUAGUGACUUAUGGUAUUCGAUAUGAACUUGUGAAGGUCUAUUAAUAUUAUUAAUAUCCACCUUCGGACCUCAUGACCUUUGACCUUAGGAUAAAAAAAGUUGAUUUUUUGGAAUCUUUUUGUAUUGAAGAUUUGAUUGUAAUAUAUGGUGUCACCUGAGCAUGAUCAAAUUUAUUAGUUUUAGGAACAUUUUCAUGUGAAAUAAAUCCUUUAGAUUUUUUCACUCCCGAGUCCUCUGAUAUCGAUGUUAUGUCGAUGAGGGAAAAGUACAUAUAUAGAAGUCUUCCUAGUAUUGGUCAAUGUUUAAUAUAUGAAAUUAUCAUGAUUUUAUAAAUGGUUUGUAUAAAUGUUUUCCCUGAAUUUUAACUACUUAAAUAAAUAGCCAACAUAUUAUACCAUUAACAUACAUUAUCAAACUAGUAAUUUCAAAGUGUUAUAAAUAAACAAUCAAGUAACCUUUAAUGUUAUGGUAUUUACAAAUUCUGAACAAAAACUUGAGAUAAUUGAUAUAUCAAUUUCUAAAUAGGCUAUGUAUUUCUGCCAAUGUAAAUUUACAAUAAAUGAAUUUUGUGUUACAAACAUUUUUAGCUGACAUAUAUUGUGUCUAAAUUUAAAAGCUGAAACAGAAAUAGUCUAAACUUUAUUUAUGCUAUUUUAAUAUGAUUCUGAAUAUUUUAAAACAUAAAUAAGGAAGCAGAAUUGGACAUUUGUUGACAGUAAGUUUUAUUUAAUUAUACCAAUUUGUUAUUUAAAUCAUUUGCAGUGGGGAUCCAGAGGAAGGGUUCCGGGGAUGGAUCCCCUCUUUAUCCUGAGUUUGGACCCCCCUUCUAAAAAUGUCUGGAUCCACCCCUGAUUUGGUUAUUGAAUUAUUAUUCCAGAAAAAAAUCUUUUAAAAUUCUAAAACUAUCUUACCAUACAAUUACUGAACCUAAAUGUUCAUUUACAGUUUGUCAGACUAUAAAGCAUUUUCACUGCUUCAAAUGUUGUAGGUAUCUGUUUUUAGUUGGCUUUCGUUGUUGGGUGAUUUUGCUAGAAGUGUUCCCCUGACUGAUCUACAUAGUAUUUUAGAAAAGAUUGCAUAUAGUGCAAAAACUGUUAUUAAAUAUUAUAUUGGUGAAUGCAUGGCGGGAAAAAUUGUUUCUUUUUGUUUUUGAAAUAAAAGCAAAUUGUAUAUAUUCAAUUCCUCCUUUAUCAUUGAACCUAUUGGAAUCAUUGUUCAUAGUAUAUCUUUAAUUCUGCAGUACAUGGCAUAGUUUGGGUUUUCUUUUAUCUGAAUGCCCUUUACUGUGCUUAUCCAGUAACCUUUGUGGUACCACAAUAACAAUGGCUAAAACAGUUUAUCAAAUUGCAAUUUGAAUUCUUCUCCCACAGUAAAAGAUUUUUUUCCACUAGUCUUUGUUUUACUAUGUACUAUAAAUGCAUGAUAUUUUUUUUCUUCUCCUUCACUUGGCUGUCCUAUCUAUCAUAACAGUCAUUCUCAUAUCAUUUUCGACUUAUGUAGGAAGGUGCACUUUUAUUUUAAUAUCUACACCAUUUUACACUUCUCAUGUUCUUGAUCUACAUUAAUUCUGGUUAUAGUGUGGAUCGACAAUUACACUUUAACUAAGGCUUUUGUUAAAAGUCUUAAGAUUUUGUACUUUCAUUGACAAUGGAUGAUACCUAGAAGAUUAAAGUUAUUGUAUGUGGAUUUGAGACAUGAAAGAUAAAAAUAUUUAAUACAUCAUGUUUCUUCUCAAGUUUUUCAUAUAGGUACAAGUUUUGAUAUAAAGAUCUCAUUUAAAUUAUCUCAUCUGUAAAUAAUUCAUUUUUUAAAUUUGUUUAUGUACAUAUAAAGAGUUUAAAAAUAUCAGAUUUUUAAACAAAACACCUAAAAUUAUUUCUUAUAAUUUUUUUUUCUGUGAUAAUAUUGUAUGUACAUAAUGAAAUUGAAUGAUAUUUGUUAUAGAUAAGUUAUUUGUUUUCAGGUCUAGGAUGAUGUAGAAGACAAGUUUCACAUCUUCUCAAGCAAAACAUUUUAAUUUUGAUGGUAUUAAGAAUGAAAGGAAGAUUUUGUUAAGCUAUCUGUGAAGACAUUUUAAAAGUCGGCUUUGAUUGGCACCUAACAAAAUAAAUACCAGAUAUUACAUUGAUCAAACGUUUUGUAUCAGUGGAUGAAAAUCAUUAAAAAAUAGAAAUGGUCGUGCAUGUAGAGUUGUAUUGAAUCUUGUGUUGACAAGACUUGACAGUUAAAUUUUGUUUAAGCCUCAUUGGAAUAUUGAUAAGUUUUUAUUUUUAAAAGUGUUUUGUAUGUUCAUACAUUGUAUGCAUUAUUUAUCAGAUACUUAAAAAAAAUCAUGAGUGCAUGCCGAGUAAUAAUAAAGAAAAGUGAAAAAAGUGAUGGAUAUUUUUAGUUUUCUAUAAAGAUCAGCAUUAAAGGAUAUGAAUGAAGCCUCAACGAUCAUGGACAACUUUGGACGAUGGGGCGUUGACAGAGGACAGGGUCAAUCUAAAGGACAGUAUGGUCCUCAAACUGCCCACAAACAGCCAACUAUUGAACAGACUUUAUGCUAA